UGUUUCUUUUCCAUUUUUAGAUCACCUGAGUCAUUAUGUGAACUAUUGCAAUUGGUCUGCAUCCAUUGCUAUGCAUCAUACAUUAACAAUUAAACAUUUUUAACUUUUUCUUGAUAAUUCAUUCCAAUUCUUUUCAAAUUUGGUAUGAAGUAUCUUUGGGACAAGGGGGAUGUCAAUUGUAAAGAACAAGGUACGGUUUUGGUCAAAUCUGCCCUGUCAAGGAAAUUUACCAAAAUACUAACUUUUUGAGAAGAAAGAGUGUCGCGUACCAUUUUUGAUGACCUUGACCUUUUAUGUAAAGGUCAAUUUAUAGAAUUUUUUAUUCAUUUUUUUGUCCGGAUCAUAACUUUUUAUGCCCCCCUUCAAAGAAGAGGGGCAUAUUGGUUUGCACCUGUCGGUCGGUCGGUAGACCACAUGUUGUCCGCUCAAUAUCUUGAGAAUCAUUCACUUGAUGAUAAUGAUAUUUCGUAUGUGGGUUGGUUAUGAGUAGAAGAGGACCCUAUUGUUUUUCAGGUCAAAAGGUCAUAGGUCAAGGAUCAAUCUACUCUGGACAUAGGAAUAUAAUGUCCGCUCAAUAUCUUGAGAACCCUUUGCUUGACAGACAUCAAACUUGGCACACUGGUACAUCCUAAGGAGUAGAUGACCCCUAUUGAUUUUGAGGUCAUAUGGUCAAAGGUCAAGGGUCAAACUGGACAUAGAAAUAUACUUACCAUUCAAUGUCUAGAGAACCCUUUGCUUGACAGACAUCAAACUUGGUACACCAGUACAUCUUCAGAGGAAGAUGACUCCUAUUGAUUUUGAGGUCACAUGGUCAAAGGUCAAGGGUCAAACUAGACAUAAGAAUAUACUGUCCAUUCAAUAUCUUGUGAACCCUUUGCUUGACAUACAUCAUACUUGGUACACUAGUACAGCUUCAGGAGAAGAUGAGCCCUAUUGAUUUUGAGGUCACAUGUUUAAAGGUCAAGGGUCAAACUUGACAUAGGAAUAUACUGUCCGCUCAAUAUCUUGAGAACCCUUUGCUUGACAGACAUCAAACUUGGUACACUGGUAUGUCUUCAGAAGAAGAUGACCCCUAUUGAUAUUGAGGUCACAUGGUCAAAGGUCAUGGGUCAAACUGGACAUAGUAAUAUAAUGUCUACUCAAUGUCUAGAGAACCCUUUGCUUGACAGACAUCAAACUUAGUACACUGGUAUAUCUUCAAGAGAAGAUGACUUCUAUUGAUUUUGAGGUCACAUGGUCAAGGGUCAAACUAAACAGGAAUAUACUGGCCACUCAAUGUCUAGAGAACUUUGCUUGACAGACAUCAAACUUGGUGCACUGGUACGUCAUCAGGAGAAGAUGACCUCUAUUGAUUUUAAGGUCACAUGGUCAAAGGUCAAGGGUCAAACUGGACAUAGUAAUAUACUGUCCACUCAAUAUCUUGAUAGCCAUUUUGCUUGACAGACAUCAAACUUAGUGCACUGGUACAUCUUCAGGAGAUGAUGACUCCUAUUGAUUUUGAGGUCAAAGGUCAAUAGUUGAAUUGAACAUAAUAAUAUAUUGUCUCCUAUAUUUUAAGAAUUAUUUGCUUGAUUGACACCAAAGUUGGUACACUGGUACAGCAUAAGGAGUAGAUGAUCCUUAUAUAUUUUUAGGUCACAUGGUCAAUCCACUCUUGACAUAGGAAGAUAUUGUCUGCUCAAUAUUUUGAAUUGAUGAUACUACUAUAGUGUUAAAUCUAGGAUCUAGAGAGGGCACACAUAUCAUAUGUUCAAAAGGGCACUUUUCGUCGCGGCAAGACAAUUUCGGGGCAUUUUCAUUCUAUCAUACUAUGAUAGUAAUAGAAUAAUCAUUUAGCCUCUUUAAAAGUUAAUACCUGCUGCCUUGAUUUUAAACUUUUCAAUCAACCUUGUGAAGUAAAGAACAAUUGUUUAUAUUAAGUUCAGUAAACAAAUAUUUUUUAAAAAUUCAUAGAGAAAAAAGGGCAUGGUGCAAUUAAAAAGGGCAUGGCGCCAGCCAAAAAGGGCAUGGUGCAGCGCCAUGCUAGUUUGCUUUAGAUUUAACAUUAUACUAUCAAUUAAAUGAUGUGUGUGUAUAACCCUUUUCAAUUUUGCACCAUGGGGGGCAUAUGUGUUUUACAAACAUCUCUUGUUUUUGUCUUUUGACACAGGCCUUUGAUAUUUGGUAUGUGAGUAUACCAUGAUAAGGCAGUUGUCUUUUGUCAUUUUUUAUUACCUUUGACCUUGUAAGUAAUGGUCAAAUAUUAGAAUUUUUUGGGCAUUGUUGUUGUCCAGACCAUAGUUUUUUUGUCUUUUGACGUAAGCCUUUGAUAUUAGGCAUCCGGGUAUACUAUGAUAAGACAGUGUGUCACAUGCCAUUUUUGAUGAUGUUUGACCUUGAUCUUAUAUGUAUAGGUCAAAUAAUAGAAUUUUUAGCUAGGCCUUUGAUAUUUGAUCUAUAGGUAUUGUUAAUAUGGUCUAUGAGUUGAUAUGACAAGAGAGAUAAUUCUUAACUCUAGAUCUUAGUUAAUGACUCUUCAGUAAAAGGAUGUACUCUGUGUGUAAGGAAGUUAAAGGACACAACGCUGAAACAAUGUUUCUAAACUUUUUCAUUUUUUCAGAAAAAUUAAUUCUUUUCAUGCCUAAAACUACUUUAAAUGUGUUUUAUAUGAAAUAUUUUGCGUAGUUUUCGUGUUUGAAAGCGAUGGAAUUCAAAUCUUACGAUAUGCAUAUUUACUUUCACUAUUUUACGCGCCAUUAUGUGUGACGUCAUAUGCGCCCUUGGGUUUGAAAACAUCUAUUAGCCAUUUCAUAAACAGAUUAGAUUUAAUCGACAAAAAACCAAUUAUCACGUUAACGGCUUAUAAAUAAGAUUGCAUUAAGUUGUUUAGUGCAAUGUAAAGGUGUACUAGUUGUCGGUAGAAAGGAUUUAGACAUUUUUUUUAAAAAAAAUUCGAAGGAAGGUACGAGAAAAAAGACGUGGAUAAUUUUUUGUUGGAGCAAGAACUUUACCUUUAAAAAACCACCCAGUCACCUUUUUAAAAACCGCUUGGACAGAGACCCUGAUAAAUUGUGAGAAAAUGGGUAUAUCGAAGCUAAGCACUACAUAAUUCUGUUCUGGUCUUCAAAUUCAAUACACACUCGGACCAACUGACCUUCACCUUAUAACAACAUACCCGGUAUAACUUUUGCUUCCAGUUUCUACCAACUAGUAGAUUUACAAAAAAUUUAAAGACACAAAAUAAUUGAACUUUUAAUUAUAUAAGUAAUAGAAUAUUGUAUUUCCUAACUUUGAAUUGAAUUUUAAAAUUAUUCCUCAUUGAACUCGUAACAUCUUGAGUGCGUCAGUGUAACACUGUGCUCCCACUUCCUAAUGACGUGCAGAUCACAAUUCAAAAAUAAUAAUAAGAUUGCUUCAUCAAAAUAAAAUAGUGUGAUUACCACUUUAAAUUUGAUUAUUUGUAUUGAUCUAUGUGUGUUUUUUCUUUUUCUUUAUCUUUCUUUCCGAAAUGCACCCAUGGCAGUAGCUUGUUCUAGGGCCAAGUUGUCAACAAUGUAACGUAUUAUAAUUGUCUAAUCCAACAAUAAAUAAUGAUUGCACUGUUUAUUUUAGAAAAACAGUGCCAAUUACAGAUGUAUAAAGGAAUAACAUUACCAAACAGUUUGUAGACAGUGACCCAUAUAAACAUUAUUUACUCGAAAUAUUGUCGAUUUCAUACUCGCUUUUCUCGCUAUAGUUGUGUAUUUUCAUCGCUAUAUGUAUGCACUGGUGGCAAAAACAUAUAAAACUUAGAAAAUUUGUCAACAUCAAUUUAAAUGUUGCCCAUGGUGAAUAAAUUAGGCCCUUAAAGGCUGUGUUUUUAAUAAUAUCUCACAUCACUUUCACAAUCAGUUAAUUGAAGAAGGGCGCAUGUGAUGUCACUGUACCACGUGACUACCUACCUAAUUAGGCCAAUUCAACUUAAUUAAUAGAUUAUCAUCCAGGGUCAGCAAAAAGGAUUUUAUUUUUUUAUUUUUAUUUUCUGAGAAAUAUAUUAAAGACAAACGAGUUUUUAUUUCAAGAGAUCCGCAUCAUUUAAUGGCAGAUGGAUAUCAAUCUAUGCUAUUUUCAUAGACUAAUUCCAGGUUAGGCUUUAAUUUAAGGAUAUAACAGAAAUAUACCUAACUUCUUCAAGAUUCAAGAAUAUGAAUUUCCUGUAAGUAUGGUUGGUAAACCAGUUACAGUUAAAACAGAUGUAGUUGACUCGGACAUCCCUUUAUUGCUCUUUAGAACUGCAGUGAAAAAGGCAGGGGUAAAAUUGGAUUGGGGGAAGGAUACUGCUGUCAUCAUGGGAUAAGAUGUGGCUCUCAAUUUAACCACACCUUACCAUUAUUGUAUACCAAUUGACAAAUCAGAGACUGUACCUGCAUAUUUGGCAAAAGAGUGUAAAAAGAACUACCAGACAUUAUGUCCUGUAGAUUAAAGGUCACAUACAUGCCAACUUUUGAAAAUCCCCAUGGGGGAUUUUGCGCGCAACGACCUUUUUUCAACGCUCAAAAUUCACGAUAUUUUACCAUGAAAAUAAAUAUGUCUUUUCAAAUAAAAUAUCCAUCUAAUCAUUAUACAUGUAUCAUACAUCAAGUGUGUUUGACCAUUAACUUUAACAAAACUAUAUAUAUAAAAAACCUUUGAAAGAUAUACAUAUUAAGUAUUUUUAUUAAAAUCAUCUAUUCAGCAAAAAAUCCUCUCCAACAAGUCACAUACAUAUUAUCAAAUAAUACUUAAAGUUGCAUCCUUUUACACCAUAUACACAUUGGUUGGUCUAUAUAUCAAAAUUUUAAAUUAAUUAAAGCACAUGCAUUUAGGUACGACUACAAAGGCGAUCUUGCUUGUCUGUAAACAAUUUCAUGGGCUUGCAGAGUCUGGUGGAACAAUCUGCAUUGCAACCAGAAAAGGAAUGAUCUGUCCUGCUAUGAAGUUUGCGAACAAAACCUUUGCACCCAUGACAUCUGAAAUAAAUACCAGGAAAAAAACACAUCAAAAUAUACGUUUUUACUUGUAAAAUAAGGCUACUUGCUAAUAUAAAAUUCAGUACAGACUUGUGCAAAUUACGCAUCACAAAGUCUAUUGAAUAUUACACUAUAUAGACUAUGUAAUACAUCGCUAUAGACAGAUAGAUUCGGAUAGCCUAUAUUAUUAUAGUUGGAAAAACAUCUAUUUGACGUACCUUUAAUAUUGCAUAUUUUGGAUGCUGUCAGCGAGAGGCAAAAAUCGGGAAUAUCCGAUUGUUUGGUGCAUGGUGGUGACACUAUUAUCAUUGUCAUUCACGUUUGUGUAAAGGAUAUGUCAAUUUGAAAUCCGUCUUCCCGAUUAAUUACUAUCAAAACAUGCUUCGCACUGUCCAAUAAGCACCCCGACACAGGCAGACCAGGUAAAUUACAUCACCCCGAUACCAUGCGACACAGUUAAACAGCAAUGGCUGACUAUUGUCCCAAUUUCUGAUUUGCCAGUUCAGAAAUGACGCGGGAUUUCAAAUUCCGGGUGGAAAUGGGGGUUUGUUGUCGUAAAAUGGGAGAUAUUUUUAGAAAAUCGGGAUUUUGGGGUAUUUUUGCAAUCCCGAUCGGGAUAUUUAGAUUUGCCUUUUCAACUGCUUUAAAUCAGGAGAAUCCCGCACAAAUCGGGAAAGUUGGCAUGUAUGAGGUCAACUGAAACGAUUUUCAAAGUUCGUUUUUCAAAUAAAUUCAGUAAGAAAAUACCAUUCCUUAAAUGUUUUCGCAUAAGAAUAAUUUUUGUUUCGAUCAUCCAGGUAGAUACGACAUCGUUAAUUUCAACCCGGUAAAUUUUAUUGUAUGAGUUAUCUGCCCUUUAGGCGAACCUGAUAUUUCAAUAUGGCGGCACGAUAUGAAAAUGAUUCGGAAGAUUGUAUUCCUGAAAUAGAUAUAUCGCUUAGUGUUAAUGUGCAGCCCUGCCAGUACGAACCAGUUGUACAGCGAGACGCAUCCCCACUAGUGAAAAACGAUAGUGAUUCAGAAAACAGCGAGGAUCAAUCGGACGAAUGCCCUUCACCUGUUCACCAUCUGAUAUGCUUGCAAUGGUGAUCAUAUAGGCUAGUAAUUUCAUCGCAAUGCCCUCGAGAAGGGAGUCCAAAUGUUGCCGUGCAUAGGAUUGAAGAAGUGGGCGUGUCCUGCAUCACAGAUCACGAGGGUUUUGUUGUGGCAAACUGUCUCAACGGAUAGGUUUUAGGAACAGCUUAUUAUGAGUACAUACAAAAUAAUGGUCCCUUGGAAGAAGGGGAAUUGAUUUACAAAUUUUACAGACAUCAUGCAGAUUGGAGAUCUGGUAAUGGCUUGAGAAAAACAAUUGGAAAGUUCUUCUAUCCUAGUGUUGUGACUAUGAUAAGAAAUCAUUCCAUCACGACAGUACUGUGGAUUUAAAUACCCUUUGAUAUUAAUUUAAAUGUGUUAUAAAUUUUAAUGCAUUUCUCAUAAGUGAUUCAUAAAUAAAUAUAAACAAGUAAA
Long non-coding RNA from Ostrea edulis (European flat oyster), 6476 nucleotides. RefSeq lists it as uncharacterized. Lineage: Eukaryota; Metazoa; Mollusca; Bivalvia; Ostreida; Ostreidae. The record is from RefSeq and is a predicted model, not a curated record. The transcript has 3 exons.